RNAcentral lists this ribosomal RNA (622 nucleotides) under uncultured bacterium. RNAcentral's name for it is "bacterial SSU rRNA". It matches the Rfam family "Bacterial small subunit ribosomal RNA", at positions 202 to 842 of the family's 1533-position model. The record is from RNAcentral.
CAAAGGAGCAAUCCGCUGAAAGAUGGGCUCGCGUCCGAUUAGGUAGUUGGCGAGGCAACGGCCCACCAAGCCGACGAUCGGUAGCCGGACUGAGAGGUUGAACGGCCACAUUGGGACUGAGACACGGCCCAGACUCCUACGGGAGGCAGCAGUGAGGGAUAUUGGUCAAUGGGGGAAACCCUGAACCAGCAACGCCGCGUGAGGGAAGACGGUUUUCGGAUUGUAAACCUCUGUCCUCUGUGAAGAUGAUGACGGUAGCAGAGGAGGAAGCUCCGGCUAACUACGUGCCAGCAGCCGCGGUAAUACGUAGGGAGCAAGCGUUGUCCGGAUUUACUGGGUGUAAAGGGUGCGUAGGCGGCUUUGCAAGUCAGAAGUGAAAUCCAUGGGCUUAACCCAUGAACUGCUUUUGAAACUGCAGAGCUUGAGUGGAGUAGAGGUAGGCGGAAUUCCCGGUGUAGCGGUGAAAUGCGUAGAGAUCGGGAGGAACACCAGUGGCGAAGGCGGCCUGCUGGGCUCUAACUGACGCUGAGGCACGAAAGCGUGGGUAGCAAACAGGAUUAGAUACCCUGGUAGUCCACGCUGUAAACGAUGAUUACUAGGUGUGGGUGGACUGACCCCAUCC